GAAAACAAGAAGAUUAGCAUCCGAUAAAAUUGGAACGAUACAGAGAAGAUUAGCAUGGCCCCUGCGCAAGGAUGACAUACACAAAUUGAGAAAUGGUAUCAAAGUAG
Molecule: small nuclear RNA, 107 nt
Filed under: Ricinus communis (castor bean)
Lineage: Eukaryota; Viridiplantae; Streptophyta; Magnoliopsida; Malpighiales; Euphorbiaceae
Source: RNAcentral